CAUGAUAUACUGGCUACGGCGGCAGCUUUCCCAACAGACAGCUGUCCGCCCGAACCUUAACCCUUGCUUUUUGCGCACCCAUUGUUUCCUCGGCAGGCUUGCCUGCCAGUAGGACCUUUUUAAACUCUUUGCAGUUGCAGUCAGCGUCAGAAAUAACGUAAUCGUUA
Molecule: unclassified non-coding RNA, 167 nt
Filed under: uncultured fungus
Lineage: Eukaryota; Fungi
Description: sequence contains ITS1, 5.8S rRNA gene
Source: RNAcentral